Molecule: ribosomal RNA, 253 nt
Filed under: uncultured bacterium
Lineage: Bacteria
Description: partial 16S ribosomal RNA
Rfam family: Bacterial small subunit ribosomal RNA
Source: RNAcentral
UACGUAGGGGGCAAGCGUUGUCCGGAUUUAUUGGGCGUAAAGAGCGUGUAGGCGGCCAGAUAGGUCAGCUGUGAAAACUCGAGGCUCAACCUCGAGAUGUCGGCUGAAACCAUCUGGCUAGAGUCCGGAAGAGGAGAAUGGAAUUCCCGGUGUAGCGGUGAAAUGCGCAGAUAUCGGGAAGAACACCCGUGGCGAAGGCGGUUCUCUGGGACGGUACUGACGCUGAGGAGCGAAAGUGUGGGGAGCGAACAGG